CAUCUCCUCUUUUUCUGCUGUCCCAUUCCGAAAACACAAGGAAGGAAGAUUUAUCAUGAAGCCAGAAGGCGGUGUUGUUCUCCUGUGAUUCCUACUUAGGGACCAUGGUAAGGACAGACAAAAUGCCCUGUGUGACUGGAUAGGGGUAGAAAACUGUACUAAGGCUCAUAGUACAAGUGCCUCCCAAUGAUCAGGACAUCUUACUGGACAGCUUCUACUCGCCAUGAAAAGGCUCGAGAAAUGCGAUUCCUCCACAACCCCUGACUUCGCUUCUCAGAUCCUUUUACUAAACCUCACAUGUGGCAGGGUCCCUGUGUCCUCAUCCCAAACUGUCUCCUUGUUUGAAAAUCAGUCACCAAGGCAACGAGUGGAGACAGUACAGCAGAGUCAUAAAGAGCUGCGGAGUCCGGAAGACCUGGUUUUGAAUUCCCAUCAUGCCGCUCACUAGCUGUGGGUCCUCUGCUACGUUGCCAAGCCUCGAGAACCUUCAUAUUCUCGCGGGAAUAUGGCGAUGAUAGCAAGCUACCUUUGGGAGAGGUUAUAAGAAUGGUGUCACAAAUGUCUAGUGCACUUGGUAUGCCAAAAGAGUUCCAUGUGUGCCACCAUCUAUUCAUUAAAAUUGCUUCCGAAGUAAGAAAAUGGUGGCAGAGAAGAUUUUUAGCCAUGGUGCCAGACUCCGCUUAAACACCUUCCUCUGUUGUCUGUGAUCCAGACUCUUACACUGACGCUCCUUAAACACACGGUUGGUGUCUCCACAGGCUCCCAAUGCUGUUUUAUCCCGUAAUGCUUUCUUCAUCUCUGCGAGAACUCCUUGUGUUUCCUUUUCUUUACCUCUUAAAAAAUAUCAUCAAAGGUUGUGAUGAAUCCCAACAGUCUGGCCUGAGGAUUGGGCAAUGUAUCAAUUCCAAAUCGAAUACGGCCUCAGAUGAUGGUGGGAGUGAAUUGUUCAUCUAAUCCACUCCCGACGUCUAAUUCGUCUCAGGAGGAAUGUGAGAGCAUUUGUAGUCAACUAACAGCUUUCUCUUGACCGACAACAGAGAGAGAUCGCGGUGGUCUCACUUUGCCAGAUGGGGAAACCAAGGCCCAGGGAUACAAAAAGGACCAAACCAAGGUGAACAAACAAUAGAAACCCACAAGUGAAAGAAAGACACAACCGUACGAGGACACGUGGUUAACCUGGUGCUAACAUGCACAAGCUCCACUGGAAUGGUGGCAUGACAAGCCUGGUAACAUGAGCUAAAGCCAGUUCCGAACUGUGCUUCCUAGCCUGGAAGACAAAGCCCUUUGUGAUCCAGCCCCAGCCUGUUUUGCCAACCCUGGCGUUUUCCACUCCCCAACUGGAAACUGAAACCCUUUGUAACCUCCAUACUCAACUCCCCAAACUCCCAGUAGCUCGUAGAGAGCUGCCUGACUGUAUAUCCUUCCCUUCCAGCACUCUGCAGUGCCGUCUUACUUCUUAUCCCUCCAUCUGGCCUGAGCUUCAGUGCGUCUGGGAAUACUCUCCAGCCGUCCUGGAGGAUUCCCCUCCUCUGUGUUUCCACGGUACCCUGGAAGCACUCCUGUAAUAGUACCUCGUACUGUGUGACCUGCUUCCUUGUCUGCCUUCCUCACCGGACCAAGAGCUCCUUUAGAGUGGGCCCCGUUGCUUUGUAUCUUAAGUGCCUGGCACACACUGGGCCUUCAAGAAAUGCCUGUAACUCACCAAAAUAUGCGGCUGGAGUGAUUUGCACCCGGAUGCUUAGACCCGCCAUCUGCUCCGAGACUACUCAGAAAGAUCCACCCAUGCACUCUCUGGCUGCAUACCAGCCUGCCCUGCCUGCAACUGUUAUUUCCCAGGACUCCAUACCUAUGCCACAGUGUUUGAAGCCGUGCUUCAAGGAAUCAUGAAAGCACUUGCCUGGACCUGCUACACGGCCUAAGUAUAGCCGACUCUACUUGGCGAUCCUGUAAUUACCCUGAUGUUACUGGUGUCUAAACCAAGGCCCAGAAAGGUAGCUUCAUCCUUCCAAGAUCCCACAGCCAAUGAGUGGAAAGUGAAGCCAGGCAAGUCUGAUGUCGUCGCCCAUCUGCCACCUUGCCCUCCGGAAACAUCAAAGAGUCCAACACAUCUGAGCUGAGAAGAUAGGUCACCACUAGAGAAAUCGCUGUGGGACUCAUUUGCAAAAGGUGCCUGUUCAUAACUGAAGCGGGAGACACGAACGACACAGCAGAGGGAUGUAGAGGUCCUUGACGGGAGCAAGGAGGGAUGCCCCCAUCUUGGAGAGAAGUAGAGCAAGAGGAACUCUUGAGAACCGCAGAGAAACCAAGAGGAGAGCUAACAGGAGGAUCAUGGGACUGAGACAGAAAGCUUUGUCAGCGAAUACAUGGCCAAGGACAUCAAAGGCUGCAGAAGUGUCUUGGAAGGGAAGAACAGGGCAGCAGGAUAGGAGUAAAGGAAAGGUGUUGAGUGCA
Molecule: long non-coding RNA, 2451 nt
Organism: Herpailurus yagouaroundi (jaguarundi)
Lineage: Eukaryota; Metazoa; Chordata; Mammalia; Carnivora; Felidae
Exons: 4
Source: RefSeq, a predicted model, not a curated record